CCUACGGGAGGCAGCAGUGGGGAAUCUUGCGCAAUGGGCGAAAGCCUGACGCAGCCAUGCCGCGUGAAUGAUGAAGGUCUUAGGAUUGUAAAAUUCUUUCACCGGGGACGAUAAUGACGGUACCCGGAGAAGAAGCCCCGGCUAACUUCGUGCCAGCAGCCGCGGUAAUACGAAGGGGGCUAGCGUUGCUCGGAAUUACUGGGCGUAAAGGGAGCGUAGGCGGAUAGUUUAGUCAGAGGUGAAAGCCCAGGGCUCAACCUUGGAAUUGCCUUUGAUACUGGCUAUCUUGAGUGUGGGAGAGGUAUGUGGAACUCCGAGUGUAGAGGUGAAAUUCGUAGAUAUUCGGAAGAACACCAGUGGCGAAGGCGACAUACUGGCCCAUUACUGACGCUGAGGCUCGAAAGCGUGGGGAGCAAACAGGAUUAGAUACCCUGGUAGUCCACGCUGUAAACGAUGAGUGCUAGUUGUCGGCAGGCAUGCCUGUCGGUGACGCAGCUAACGCAUUAAGCACUCCGCCUGGGGAGUACGGUCGCAAGAUUAAAAACUCAAAAGGAAUUGACGG
This 562-nucleotide ribosomal RNA is filed under the name uncultured bacterium. RNAcentral describes it as "bacterial SSU rRNA". It matches the Rfam family "Bacterial small subunit ribosomal RNA", at positions 338 to 916 of the family's 1533-position model. The record is from RNAcentral.